UUUUACAGUAAAUUCGCGGCUUUCCUUAUAGAUAAAAAGUUAUUUAUUAACAAGGGGCACCGGGAAAACUGUUAAUUUGUGACCAUUAUUUUGUAUAGCAGUGUCGUCUGUCCAGUUAGAGGUAUGUUCUCUGUAUUAUUAGACUUAUUUAUAUUUUUAAUUUUAAUUUAUUAGAGUUGUUACCGGAGUUGUUCUUAAUGUUAAAGUUUUCAUUUUAAAGUUGUAAAUGUGAUCUAUUUAUUGUAUUUGUGUUCCUUUGAGAUUGGUAUUUUUGUUGCAUUUUUUAAUUAAUAUAUGAUUUUAGUAUGUACGUUUAGUUACUUGUAAUUACUUCUUUGUAUAUCAACAAAUCGUGUUAAACCAAGCAUUGUGUAACAUUGAGCACUAAAUUAACUAACUAUUUAAAAUGUGUAAUAGUCAAUAUAAAUCAGUGAUUUAUUUUUUCAACAAGUUCUUGUAUACGUUGAGUAGGGAUGAUUGAUACCUAUGUAAAUGGUUUAGCCAAAGCAAAUGAUGGCAUAUCGUGACGCAUCACGUGGUACAACUGACUUAAUCAUAGUUACGCUUUACUUUUUCAAUUGUGUCUUUUUCUAUCUCGUCCAAUGAACAAAAUGUCUUCAAUUAUUUAAACAACAAUCCUGUCGCACAAGAUUCAAUAAAACACAAGAUCUCCAUAACUCUUGUCGGUUGCGGCUCAUCGUAUGGCAGUUUGCUGUGUAGUUUUGCCAGCUGCCUAGCGAAGGGCAACAAAUGACUGAGUUGUUCAACGGUACAACAACAACAACACUUCGGAAUCUUCGAGAAUCGACGCUGCAAGUUCAGAAAACUGGAAGAAACUGGAAAAGGAAGCUUUAAGUACUUAAAUAAGAGACUACUGCAAGGGUGCUGGACCACCUCUCAAUGUGGUAGCCGUUGUGGAAGCGGGAUAGCGAAAUACACAGCCUAUAGCGGCGUCUCUUUUCCACAACUGAAACAGUGGUACCUACUUGAACAAAUUCCUGUCAUAUUUUGUUAAGCUGUGCUUUGUUUUUAAGUCUUAUUGUAAAGUUAUUAAAGUCCUAAUCAAUUGUUUUAGCUACAGGUUGAAUUCAUUAGCCUUUAAUGUGUAACCCAUAGAAAUAUUAAUAAUAUUAUCUUAUUAUUUAGAUUUCUAUGGUGUAACCUAAUUUUAAGAUCGUAACGUGGAUUGUGAUAAAAGCAGCAUGCAGCCUAACAGCAAAUUAAAUUUAUAUAAACUAGGCGCAUAAAUAUAAUAGGUUUUUGGGUUUGCGUUUGGGUAUAAAAACAUAAACACUUUUAUAUUCAAAAAUUACAUGCGUAAUAACGUAAAUGAGCUUUUUAUAACGUUAUCAGCAGAUAUGACCGCUGUAACGGUCACCGACCAUGUAGUUUUAAACAGAUGAACACGGUUUGUCGUUUUAAAUAUUGAUUUAAAUAAAACCUACUUACUUCUCGGUACUUUCUUAGUACUUUAAAAUAUUAGGUACUUUUAUAAUGUUUUGUAAAUAUUUAUUGGCUGUAUGUAGAUAACAGUGUCAUGGUGCUAUAGUGGAAAAAAAGAAUGGAGAUUAUCGACUAUUUUUUGUAUUCUGUAUAUCGUUAACAUUUAUUUGUGAUAUAAAUUGCGUUAGUUUCAGUUAUGUGUACCUACAUAUAGCACGUUAAAACGGUUUCAAUGACAAUAAACUUCUUUUUUAACUUUAAAAUAAUGCAGUUUCUGGAGAUAACAUCUUAAGCGAGAUAGAAACAUUACAGGUAAUUUGAUCGUUCUUUUUUUAAUUAACUUCUUUACAAUGUGCUUUAAAGUAAAUUACUCGUAUCUAACGUAAUUAUCGUAAUCCACCUACACUAUCUGAAUUUUUAGUCGUCAGUUGCUAUGAUGGAAAACAUAUUAUUCAGCUUAAUCAUUCAAACGCUUUGUACCGUAAAAUAUGACAACGGUCAUAUUCGUUUUAAAGUACGACUUCGAUUGCGAAGAAUCACUUCCGGAGCUAGAGGUGUCUGAGGUUUUCUACCUCCUGGCUCCAUCGCUAUCGUCUUAUCGUAUCUUAAGCAUGACGUUAGAGUUGGCCCACGACCUUACUGAGCUUCGGGUGUCUUUUAAUGCAAAGACAAAGUGACAUUUACCUACAUAAAUUUGAGCAGAAUAGUUUACAUUCAGCAAAAUCAUAGCACUCGAGACUAUUUUGCCCAAGAGGGGACCCCCCUUGGGCAAAAUUCAAACAAUAUCGGUUAACGAGAUCAAGGUAUUUGGGCCAUGGCCAGGAGUGAUUCAGCUAGGAGUUUAGCUAGUCAAGUUUAACUUUGUCCAUAUUACAUUUUCAAUAGGUCACCAAAAACGACACUCUUUGAUUAUAGCACAGAAGAAAAAUUAAAAAAAUAUAUUGCACGCAGAAAUUAAAAAAACCCGAUCAAAUAAUCUAUAACUGUCAGAUGUCAAACCUCAAAAAUGAUACUAGUGCAAAAUUUCAUAAUAUAAAAUUUUCCGUUUAAAAAGAUGUGAUCAAACCGGAUUGAAGCACUCAGCAAAUACAUAAACAUGUACACAUUUACGAUAGACAUGGGUUAGGGCUUACGAUGUUUGGUAAACAGAAAUCGGAACAGACAGGGCCAAUCAAAGAUCUGAGUUGUUGCUGCCCGCCUGGCGAGGCGAGCGCUAACACCUUCAACCAAUCCAUCUCUAACAACACCCUUUGCCCUGCUAGCCCUUUGGCCUGGCUCAAUGACCCUAAGAACGCCCAGUUGUUGGCGGCCGGACUUGCCGCCUUACUCUUACUGAUUCUGUUAUAUUGGAUGUUCAGUAGUAAGGGAGGGGACAUGGGCUGCAGGUCAUCAUGCCGGUGCGCCUGCUCGUGGGGCAUCGUCUCAUGCCGCUGCCGCUGAAUUGAUGACUGUCUUCAGAAAUAUCUGACAAUAUCAAUAAUUUCGCUCACCUCUCUCUUGCCUAUUUCCGGAAUAAAAUAAAUGGAACCAUUGGCCAGAUAAUGUAAAUGUUGACCGACAAUAGUUUUAACGAAACGAACGCAACAUUAAACGUUACAGAAAA
Long non-coding RNA from Trichoplusia ni (cabbage looper), 3046 nucleotides. RefSeq lists it as uncharacterized. Lineage: Eukaryota; Metazoa; Arthropoda; Insecta; Lepidoptera; Noctuidae. The transcript has 2 exons. The record is from RefSeq and is a predicted model, not a curated record.